UGGGAAUUUGGACGAAUUGGGCGAAAGCCGAUCCAGCAAUGCCGCGUGUGUGAAGAAGGCCUUCGGGUUGUAAAGCACUUUUGUCCGGAAAGAAAUCCUUGGCUCUAAUACAGUCGGGGGAUGACGGUACCGGAAGAAUAAGCACCGGCUAACUACGUGCCAGCAGCCGCGGUAAUACGUAGGGUGCAAGCGUUAAUCGGAAUUACUGGGCGUAAAGCGUGCGCAGGCGGUUUGCUAAGACCGAUGUGAAAUCCCCGGGCUCAACCUGGGAACUGCAUUGGUGACUGGCAGGCUAGAGUAUGGCAGAGGGGGGUAGAAUUCCACGUGUAGCAGUGAAAUGCGUAGAGAUGUGGAGGAAUA
This 360-nucleotide ribosomal RNA is filed under the name uncultured bacterium. RNAcentral describes it as "partial 16S ribosomal RNA". It matches the Rfam family "Bacterial small subunit ribosomal RNA", at positions 357 to 708 of the family's 1533-position model. The record is from RNAcentral.